UUUUUUUCUUUUUUUUUAAAUAGCACUUCAUUAAGAUUACAUUAAGCAGAAUUUUAAAUCAUUUGCUUUUCAUCUGAUCGCAGAAUAGAAAGAUUAAUUUUAUGUCUUGAAUAUCUCAAGUAAGGAGUUUUACUUCAAAAAAUACUUUUAUACAUCCUUUUCUUCAUUGUGUUCUUUCUGUGUACCUUCACAUUGUCAAAGUCGAUGUUUCAUUUUGCCUAGAAAACAAAAGUUGUUAUAAACAGUAUUUUAAAGAAACUUUGUAUUUUGAUCUUUUUGCAUGUGCUUUGUGAUUCAGACAGAAAUGUUAUAGUGGUGGUGGCACUAAAUAAGAGAUACUUUAAAUAUAAUGUGUAUUACCUUAAUAAAAUAAGUUCUCAAGUUAUUUCAGUUUUAUUCAAAUUUCUUACUGAAUUUCAGAUAUUUAUUCUAAUCUCUGAAUAUUAUAUUUGAGAACAAUUUGAAACUGAAUUUAAGAUCAAAAAAACCCUCAGUUUUGUGGAUAUUCUACAAAAAUCUAACAAUAGUUUGAUAAGUUCAGAUAAAGUGCAAAGUUAAUGUCUUUAAGUUAAGCAGAAAAAAGACAUCCUAAUUUUGAAAGGUUCAAACUUUCAAUCUAGUGAUCUUACAGAGUUGCACUUCUGAAGAUAUGAAAUAUUUAAUGAGACUUUGUCCAUUAGACUCAUGAAACUUAAUUUUUUUUGUCAUCUUUCAUCUGCUGUUAUAUUUACUUGAGAACUUCAGAGUCCCUCCAUUUGCUAAAAUAGCAUGACUAUUUUAAAGAGUGCAAGUGAUGUCAGUAACACUGGGGAAUUAUGAAAUAUCUUUGCUAAUUUUUUUAGUAUACACCUUCUCAGGUCCUUAUAUUUUUAUCAACACCUUCGUGCUCCUGCAGAAUAAUGUCUUGUGUGUCAUCAGUGUGCCAGUAGAAAAUGUUGCUGUUAAAGAUCAGGCAAUACAAUUUGCAAGUGACAGACUUUCCUGUAUUUAUCUGUUAUCUAUUUGAGAACACUGCAAUUUUAUACAGCAUAAACUAUUCCAGAGAGGUAAUAGAAGUUGGCUCAUGGUAAUUUUUAACACUCUCUUUGUACUUCAGAAUUGGUGAUAUGAUGCCUUUCAAAUGUAUAGGAACUCAAACCUAAAGUUAUGAUUUAUUAAAUAGCUAAUUAAAUAUUAUGUUUUACUAGUAAUUAUAUUUGGAAUGUGUUGUAUUCAUUUUAACCUUAAAAGCAUAAACCAAAAAAAAAUUAUGUUAACAUACUUUGAUGCUGAAAGUAAUUUGUAGCCAAUUAACAAUUUUAUCUGACUUUCAAAAAAGGUUUUUAUUAUACAUUUCAAAUAUGCUUUUGAGAGGAGCUGCAUACUGAAAACCAAAGAGGCUCUUUUCAUGUCUCAAAUACUCAGAAAAUACAGUCUCACAGUAGCUUCAUAGAUUCUUUGAUUCUCUCUGAAAUAUUUUUAAAUACUGCCCACAUAUUGCCUUUCUACUCUGAGAAAAUUAAUUCAUAAAUUCUCCCUUGCAUGUAAUCUUAGAUAUCAUCAGUAUAUGAUGAUGAUCUCAUACUAUUAUUUCCCUUGAAACUACAUUUGCUUUAACCUGUAACAGUUUUGAGGGAGGUGGAAGAAUCUUGUUUCAAGGAGUUUUUUCUAGUUCAUGCCUCAGCUUGCCCAUGGCUUGUGGCCAGGUAAUUUACUUUUGCAGGAAACCCUGUGCUAUUUGCGCUACUCUCCACCUGCUUAUCCAGAGAAAGAGAACAGAUGCCCGUGCAUUUUUAUUUAUCUCCCUCAAAAGAGAUAAAUAAUAAUCCACCAUAAUCAGGGAUCUGAACUGGAAAGAAAAAGGAAUGGAAAAUACCAGAAGUAGAUCAGCAAGGUUGCAUAUAGUGCUAUUACCUUAUAAGCACUUCAAAGAAAAUUCUUUAAAAAAUUAACUUAGAAAUUAAUUUAUAUAUUGGCCAGUCCUUGCUGUAACGCUCACUGGUGCCAUGACAUAUGUUAGACAGCACUCAGCAGCUGCUCUUAGCAGAAAAAUUUUUAGUUUAAUGAGUUACCUGAACUCUCCUUGGACUAUGCUUUUUCUUCCCCUUUUCAUUGAUGUAUCUUCAAAUCUUAUGGAAAAUGCACGGCAUGUUUAGAAGUAGAAAAAACAAAACCAAUAGGAGCCCUUCUGUCAAGUUUAUGUGUGGAAGAGAAUCUUUGUUCUUCAUAUUUCCAAAGAAGACCUUUUGUAUAUAGUAGAUACAGGUUUUGAGAGCCAAGAAUUCUGGUUCAUAUGAUUCUAUGAGAGGGCCUGUAGGUGUGCUGCAGAGAAGAGACCAAAUUAUUUUCAUCAUGGAAAGAAUUCAGAAGAAUAUCAGAAUUGGGUUUCUUUUUUUCUUCUGCUGGAAGAUACACAGAAAGCCCAGCAUGCUUUCCAUACUGCUGACUUGUUAUAACUGCUGAAUGUGAUUUACACCCAUAUUCCUAUAGCUGGAUUUAGUGGGCUGACCCUGGCUGGACACCAGGCACUCACCAAAUCCUCUCUAUCACUCCUCUCUGCAACUGGAUGGGGGAGGGAUGAUAUAACAAAGGGUUCAUGGGUUGAGACAAGGAGAGAUCACUCAUUAAAUACCAUCACACACAAAACAGACUAAAAUUAGAGAUAUUAAUUGAAUUUAUUGCUAAUAAAAUCAGAGAGGAUAAUGAGGAGUAAAAUAAGACCUUUAAAAACACCUUCCCUCACCCAUCCCUCCUUCCCAGCUCUACCUGCUCCCCAUCAACAGCACAGGGAGAAAGGGAGUGGGGGUUAUGAUCAGUUCAUUAUUUGUGGCUUCUCUCACUGCUCGGGAAGAGGAGUCCUUUCCAUGCUCCAUCAUGGGAUCCUUCCAACAGGAAAUAGUUCUCCAUUCAUUUUUCCAACAUGAGUCCAUCACAUGGGAAAUAGUUUUUCGCAGACUAUUUCAGCAUGGGUCAUUCUUCCAUGGCAUGCAGUCUUUCAAGGACAGGCUGCUCCAGUGUGGUACACCACAUGAUGACAAAUCAUACCAAGAAGCCUGCUCCUUCUCUGUCCAUGGAUCUGCUGGUCCCUGCCAGGAGCCUGUUCCAGCACGGACCUCCCACAGAUCCACAACUUCCUUUCAGGCACCACCUGCUCUGGCAUGGAUCUCCUCCAAGGGCUGCAGGGGCACAGCUGCCUGACCAUGGGCUGCACUAUGGGCUUCAGGGGAAUCUCAGCUCUGGUGCCCAGAGCACCUCCUGCCCCUCCUGCGCUGACCUUGGUGUCUGCAGAGCUGUUCCACUCACAUAUUCUCACUCAGCUGUUCUCUGGCUGCAAUUUCACCUACACAAGAACUUUUGUUCCUUCUUAAAUGUCCUAUCAUGGAGGUGUUACCACCAUCUCUGACUGGUCCAGCCAGCUUUAGCCAGCAGCAUGUCCAUCUUGUACUUGGCUGGUAUUGGCUUUCUUGGACAUGGAGGAAGAUUCUGGCACUUUCCCACAGAAGCCACUUCUGUGCUCCUCCUUCUACCAAAAUCUGGCCACAUAAACCCAAUACAUUUGAAAUAGCUUUUCCUGUUACAUAUCAAAGCAAUCACUUUUGUAGAUUACAAAUCUACAUUUCACUAUACUUACUAGAUUUGCUCUUAAUUAUUUUAUCCUCUUUAUCUGCAUUUUGCCUCAUUAAAUGUUCUUUAAUGAUUUGAUUUUACUCCUUUGUUCAAUAUUACGAUACUGACAACUUGCUGUGGAACAUAGACUGAACUGUUCUAUUGCACAGGAACGUCUGUAAAUUAGUGUUGGCCUGAUUUGCAUAGUCAAUGAUACUUCACAAUUCUGUUUCAAAGGUGUCAGAAAGCAAAAUGAAAGAAAAUUAUUGACAAAACUGAACAAAAUUUGCUUGAAUGCUUUAGAUUUUUAUACUGGGGGAAAAAAUGUGUCAGGAUUAUGUAUAACCUCAAUAGGAAAGCUAUCUGUUUUCCUGAUUGUAAUGCUUCCAACUUUGUCUGUCAAAAUGGACUUCCCUGUAACCAAGAAGUAGAAGAAUUCAUGACACACAGUGAGUCUAUCAGUAGUCCUGUGUACAUGGUGUACCGUGGCCAGUGGGGUCACCACACAGACUGUGACAAUCCCAUAGACUUUUUUCAUUGCAAAUAUAUCUCUAUGAUUUGAACUUGUCAGCAUAUCUGUCCUUCUUUAUUUUUAAUUCAAAUUUUCAGGAGAAACAUGUUCUGUUCGCAUCAAUGAGUGUCAAGACAGACCCUGCUGGAAUGGAGGAACCUGUGAAGAGGACAUAAAUGGAUUCAAAUGCAAUUGCCCCUUCGGUAAGCAUUUAUACUUUUUAUAUAAUUCCUACAUUGGCACAAUAUGACAGAAUACUUGCUACUCAAGUGCUAUAAAGCCUUGUGUAAUGCAGGCAUUCUGCUUGCAUUUUGAAGUGUACAGAGCUAGUUAUUUAGACUAAUAAAAAGAAUGUUUUUGUCUAAUUUGUCAUAAGAAAAUCUUAUAAAUGAUUGAUUGCGUAGCUAAAAAAGUACUUGCAGUACAAGAACAUAUUGAGAAAGAAAUAUGACAGAACUGAAGAUUUAAAAUUAUUUAGUGUAUAUAUGUAUAAAUUAAAUGAUUAAAUUAUUAAAUUAUUUAUUGUAUAUAUGUAUAGACACCUUACAGCAACACAUUCUGUCAAACAAUAUAGGGUUUAGGCAGAAAAAUGUUGAAACUUAGCAAACAUAAAAACCUCAGUCUUUCAAAUCCUAUUCCACUGGCCAAAUUACUAAUUACCAAAGGACCUGAACAUUGCUCUAAAGUUUGUUUGACCUCAAUCUAGUUGCCUGAUCUUUGUCAUAUGUGAAAUGUCCUGAAGUAUCCAAGGUAUUGUGUAAAGCUGGAAGAUAUGCUAGAGGAUAAAAGGGACAUCCAAGAUGCAUCAGGCCAGGUAGCAAAUGAACCAAUCACAAUUAGAGAGAAAGAUAUAUGAUACUGAAAGUUUUGCUUUGCUAAUUUUAUAUAUAUAUAUUUAUUGUUUAAUUUGAGAUUUUACAUGUUACUUUGUGUUUACUAAGAUAAAGUAGAAAAGGGUGGGUUAGAAAUUCCUAACCUUAGAAAUUGCUUUUACCAAAGGAGCCUGAGGUACUGAUUUUGCAACUUGUAAGUUCAUUCAUAAAUAUGGGUGAUAAAUUACAGACAAAUUCUAAAAUGGUUUUUGUUUUUAUGUGUGCAUUUAUAAGCUCAUUGUUACUAUGGAAAAUAAGGUCAAGAAAACAAAUUUUAUACACUUAUGGACUAAAAAGUAUGUAUAGUACUGUGGUGUUUUUAAGAUAAAUGGAUAGUGAUCAGUAAAGCCUGGGAACGUCAGAGUACUGAAAUACAGUUCUCCAAAGAACCUUCUCAAACUGAAAAACUUAUUUUAAGGGAACUUCAAUGUAUUUAAUAACAUAAGGUCCUUAAAAGCCUUAAGGUUGGUAUCUGUUGAGUUGGGAACUGAAGACAAUACUGAGUUGUAUCAUCAAAGAUAAGGUGAUGCUUUCAAGUUUGUUGCUUCACUGAGACAAAUUUAAGCCUGCCAGGUGUUUCACUGAAUAAAGGCUGUAGCAAAACAUUAACACAAACAUUAUUUCCUUUGUUCUUUUGAGAUGGAGAUUAUCACAUUCAAUGCACCACUUUGCUAUCAUGUGUUUGACUCUUGUUGGUGUUUACCAAAACUUUGGUCUACAGUGGAUUUUACACAGAAGCAUGCUGCAACUCUUUAUUUCCACAGAUCUAAAAGGAGAUGUCAUUCAUACAGCAGAAUGCAUGUCAGUGACAGGAAAACAAAAUUGUUGUGGCAUUGUGUUAGUAAUCAUCUGUGCCUCUUUCUUUAAAGAAAAACUUCAUAAAGGUUUCCUUACCCAAUUAAUUUUUGUAAUAAUUCCCAGUGUGUGUGUGUCAUCUGGAACAAUGAAGUUUAUGUAAUGGACAUAUGAACUAAGACUAUGAGUUUAAUUCUAGUGACUCUAAAGAAAUGCUGUGUAUAGCAGUGGUUCUUGAUCAUCAUCAGUCAAAUGAUCAAAAAAACCUCAUAGUGAACCAGGGGGCAUCUGUAGAAAUGAUCAUUUUUUUUUUUAGAAGAGUUAAGACUUGCUGUCAUUUGCAGC
Molecule: long non-coding RNA, 6108 nt
Organism: Taeniopygia guttata (zebra finch)
Lineage: Eukaryota; Metazoa; Chordata; Aves; Passeriformes; Estrildidae
Source: Ensembl